RNAcentral lists this unclassified non-coding RNA (2638 nucleotides) under Leishmania donovani. Its description in RNAcentral is "gene:LdHU3.30.3740(CDS-product:hypothetical_prote in_conserved)". The record is from RNAcentral. Lineage: Eukaryota; Euglenozoa; Kinetoplastea; Trypanosomatida; Trypanosomatidae.
CUGUGCAGCUUCAUACUUCAGCGCUGGAGCAAAUACCCCUGAACAUACACAUAUACGCAACUCUCAUCUAUUCACAGUCACGCUGGCACACGCACCCAGUCACUUGCAGGCUUGCUCCCCCCUCUCCCCUCAUGUUGCAGCGCAGUGUGUUUGCCUCUUGUACCUCUUCUUACUUUCCUUCCUUGGCUCGCGUUUCUUUUGUUUGCUUCACCAUCGGGUGGGCGAGCAUAAACUCUUUGGAUUCUGGUAGCUGAUUCAACUGCGGCAGCAUGCUUCGCAAGCACAUCGUGUCUGCGCCGCUGACGUGCUCAUCGCUCCCCGAAGUUCUUUUUAGCGGCUCGGCGUGCGUGGUGGCGACACGACCAUUCCACAGUACUCGCGUAUCUUUCUGCAAUGGUAGCAGCGGCAACGGCACCCAGCAGCGGUCCGCCGCGGAGGAGGAUAAGGAGGAGCUAGAGAGGGAGCGGCACCUGCGUGAGCAGUUUGCGCAGAAGAUUCAGCAGGGCCUGCCGCGGCAGCAAGGCGGUGCCGGUGCGGGUGCUGGGAACAUGGGUGGUGGCUUUGGACAGGGCCCUGAAUGGGGCAUGGGGGGCGGCACUGCUCCCUUUGCGGGCCAGCCGCCUGUGAAUCCUGACAUGUUUCGCAAAAUGUUCAACUUUAUGUUUUACCUCACGGCUCUCUUGUUCCUGAUGCUGAUGGUGCCGCUUUCUAAUGCGAACUCGCCCUUGUACACGAUGCAAGGGCUGCCGUGGUGGGAACUCCCGAUCGGCUCAGCAGCCUAUUUUCUUCUGUUGCGUGCCUUGUACUCGCGACAAGAGCAGAAUCGCAUCAAGACCGAGUUCGAGAACGCCGCGCGCGCGAACCCGACUCUCACGUUCGACCAGUUCAUUACGCAGACCUACCCCACCAUGUUCCAAGGCUACCGCACAUCGCAGCCGGAGGUGUUGGCGGCGGUGUCGGCGUGCUUGUCAUCUGCGAAGGAUCUGCGCUUUGCGCAGACGAUGGUGCGCGCGGCAGGCCGUGCGAAGGAUCCUCGUUCGUCGGCCGACGACGUCAUGGACGCGCUGCGCCGUGACUUCCCUCAGCUAUUCUAGGCGCUCUUGUUGAGGAAUGAUCAGACAGUGGCGGCGUGCGUUCACCUGUGUCCUUAUAUGCGUAUAAGGGAGGAACAGAGAGGGCCAAACAGGUGCGCCAGAAGGAGUACGACGAAGCGGACGGUAGCGAAGGAUUUUUUUUUGUGGGUCCAAGGCUGAUUGCUUCCCUCUCUCUCGGUGUGUCGUUGACCAGUAGACAACACACCGGGUGAUGGUGGGGAAGGGGCUUCAGCACCUGCACGGCACAACUGCUCCGGUCCAGUCCUUCCCCUUUCCCUCUCAUCUACUGCCCACUGCGUCCGCUGUUGCACGUCCUGUGCCGACUCUUUUUCACUUGUAUGUUUUCCCUCACCCUCAUCACAGGGGGUGCGCCUCUCAGUGCGUGGUAUCGUCAGGGCCCGGUGCACCCCACACUCUGUGUGUGAGGAAGCCGGGCAGCCCCCCUCCCCCACCCCCAUCCCUGCCAACGCAGAGCUAUCUCUGGCGGCGACAGGGUCGAGUAUCUACGGCGUUGGUGAGGGGGAGGUCAGUGCGUAUGUGCCGCUGCUGAUGUGUCGGCGGUCAUGUCCUGGACGGCGUGACGUCGGAGUGGUCUGCGACAGUGAACACGUCUGUGCCAUCCACGUAAUGGGCAGAGUGCCCGCGUGACUCGAACGCAUCCCUCACUCGGCGCUCACACGGCUUACUGGCGUGCGGAGUGCCUGAGUGUCGCAGCGAGGGGGAUGCACCGGGGGUGGCGACCGGCACAAUGGGAAGAGGAGCGGAUGUGUGGGUAGUGUGUGAGGCAGAGGACAUGCUCCGCUGGCUGAGCCGGCGCAUUGCUGCAACGCCCGUGACUACGGUUGCAUUGCACCAGGCGAUGGGGCUUGUGGCAAGGCGGGUGGGGGGUAGAGCAGGGUGGUGCUGGACGCAUGCUGUAUGGCAGAGAACGGACACAUCGAGAGCACGAAAGGUGUUUGCCGUUGGAGCCUCUCCUUGUGAACUGCCUCGAUGCCCCGAAGAGGAAACGAUGAUGAUGCGGACGAUCACGGCGACACAGAGCCACUUUGUGGAAACGCGAGCAAAACAAGGUAGCGACGGCCGGCAAAGGCGAUGUUACCAUGUGGAAGGCGUUGAGGUCGUGAGUUUUUUUUUUUUCGUGGCUUGCCUGUACUCGCCAAUGAGGCAGGCUUAGGCAAUGAUGAACGAAGCCAGUGCUUGCGUGGAAGGGGAUGUCCCUCAGCUCCGUCGUCUGAGUGGCGUAUCUUUGAUUCAGUGUGGGCUUGUGCUGGCGUUGCCAGUGGCUCAUAUCAUAUCGACCCUGCUGACCUUUCGCUUCCUCACACCGUCUUUCUUUUCUAAAGUGCUCUUUGCCUGCAAGUAGACGCGUGCCGCAGCAAGACGCCACAGGUGUGACACCGGCACCACGCUGCAACUGGUGCACCUCUUCCUGUUACCCCCCCCCCUUUUGGCCUAGGCUGUACUCUCUGUGCUUCCCAUCUCUCUUGCUCUUGCUUGUUUGCGCCUCCGCAAUUGCGACACAUCACGUCUCGACUCCGAAAUAG